Molecule: ribosomal RNA, 465 nt
Filed under: uncultured bacterium
Lineage: Bacteria
Description: partial 16S ribosomal RNA
Rfam family: Bacterial small subunit ribosomal RNA
Source: RNAcentral
GACGAACGCUGGCGGCGUGCUUAACACAUGCAAGUCGAACGGAAAGGCCCCAGCUUGCUGGGGUACUCGAGUGGCGAACGGGUGAGUAACACGUGGGUGAUCUGCCCUGCACUCUGGGAUACGCCUGGGAAACUGGGUCUAAUACCGGAUAGGACCGUGCUUUAGUGUGUGCGGUGGAAAGUUUUUCGGUGCAGGAUGAGCCCGCGGCCUAUCAGCUUGUUGGUGGGGUAAUGGCCUACCAAGGCGGCGACGGGUAGCCGGCCUGAGAGGGUGUACGGCCACAUUGGGACUGAGACACGGCCCAGACUCCUACGGGAGGCAGCAGUGGGGAAUAUUGCACAAUGGGCGCAAGCCUGAUGCAGCGACGCCGCGUGGGGGAUGACGGCCUUCGGGUUGUAAACCCCUUUCGGCAGGGACGAAGCUUUUGUGACGGUACCUGCAUAAGAAGCACCGGCUAACUACGUG